CACAGUGUAGCAAUACAUGGGUGGCGACCGGCAAACGGGUGCGGAACACGUACGCAACCUUCCUUCAGGCGGGGAAUAGCCCAGAGAAAUUUGGAUUAAUACCCCAUAAUAUUUUGAGAUGGCAUCAUCUUAUUAUUAAAGCUACGGCACCUGGAGAUGGGCGUGCGGCUGAUUAGGUAGUUGGCGGGGUAAUGGCCCACCAAGCCUACGAUCAGUAGCUGAUGUGAGAGCAUGAUCAGCCACACGGGCACUGAGACACGGGCCCGACUCCUACGGGAGGCAGCAGUAAGGAAUAUUGGUCAAUGGACGCAAGUCUGAACCAGCCAUGCCGCGUGGAGGAUGAAGGUCCUCUGGAUUGUAAACUUCUUUUAUCUGGGACGAAAAAAGGGUUUUCUAACUCGUCUGACGGUACCAGCUGACUAAGCACCGGCUAACUCCGUGCCAGCAGCCGCGGUAAUACGGAGGGUGCAAGCGUUAUCCGGAUUCACUGGGUUUAAAGGGUGCGUAGGCGGGCAUUUAAGUCAGUGGUGAAAUACCUGAGCUUAACUUGGGAACUGCCAUUGAUACUAUUUGUCUUGAAUGUCGUGGAGGUUAGCGGAAUAUGUCAUGUAGCGGUGAAAUGCUUAGAUAUGACAUAGAACACCUAUUGCGAAGGCAGCUAACUACGCGAAUAUUGACGCUGAGGCACGAAAGCGUGGGGAUCAAACAGGAUUAGAUACCCUGGUAGUCCACGCCCUAAACGAUGAUUACUCGACAUUAGCGAUACACUGUUAGUGUCUGAGCG
This 784-nucleotide ribosomal RNA is filed under the name uncultured bacterium. RNAcentral describes it as "SSU rRNA". It matches the Rfam family "Bacterial small subunit ribosomal RNA", at positions 70 to 853 of the family's 1533-position model. The record is from RNAcentral.